Molecule: ribosomal RNA, 253 nt
Filed under: uncultured bacterium
Lineage: Bacteria
Description: partial 16S ribosomal RNA
Rfam family: Bacterial small subunit ribosomal RNA
Source: RNAcentral
AACGUAGGAGACAAACGUUAUCCGGAGUUACUGGGCGUAAAGGGCGUGUAGGUGGUUUUGUAAGUCUGGCGUGAAAUUUUUCGGCUUAACCGGGAAAGGUCGUCGGGUACUGCAAGGCUAGAGGACGGUAGAGGCGUGUGGAAUUCCGGGUGUAGUGGUGAAAUGCGUAGAGAUCCGGAGGAACACCAGUGGCGAAGGCGACACGCUGGGCCGUACCUGACACUGAUGCGCGACAGCAUGGGGAGCAAACAGG